Molecule: long non-coding RNA, 191 nt
Organism: Rhea pennata
Lineage: Eukaryota; Metazoa; Chordata; Aves; Rheiformes; Rheidae
Exons: 3
Source: RefSeq, a predicted model, not a curated record
CAAGGCUCUAGAAGGAAAAGCAGCGCAUGUGGCAGGUCCAGACUGAGGGAAGGAAAAUCGACCAGGCUUCCUCCUUGGCACCACUGAACUGCUGUCUAUGGAACUGCACUGUGAGAAGUACAUCGCUGUGCAAGAGAAGUACAUCGCUGUGCUGAAGGUGAUGGCUGCAAUGCUUGUCACAGGGCUGGAGG